This 378-nucleotide ribosomal RNA is filed under the name uncultured organism. RNAcentral describes it as "partial 16S ribosomal RNA". It matches the Rfam family "Bacterial small subunit ribosomal RNA", at positions 527 to 896 of the family's 1533-position model. The record is from RNAcentral.
GGAGGGAGCAAGCGUUGUUCGGAAUUACUGGGGGGCGUAAAGGGGCGCGUAGGGCGGGUUACGUAAGUCGAGUGUGAAAUUCCGGGGCUCAACCCCGCGAACUGCACCCGAUACUGCGUGACUAGAGAAAGGUAGGGGCAAGUGGAAUUCCCGGUGUAGCGGUGGAAUGCGUAGAUAUCGGGAAGAACACCCGUGGCGAAGGCGGCUUGCUGGACCUUUUCUGACGCUGUAGCGCGAAAGCGUGGGGAGCAAACAGGAUUAGAUACCCUGGUAGUCCACGCCGUAAACGCUGGGUAUUAGGUGUUGGGAGGAUUGACCCUUUCAGUGCCGACGCUAACGCAUUAAGUACCCCGCCUGGGGAGUACGGUCGCAAGGCUG